This 71-nucleotide transfer RNA is filed under the name Camelus bactrianus (Bactrian camel). It matches the Rfam family "tRNA". From Rfam's summary of the family: Transfer RNA (tRNA) molecules are approximately 80 nucleotides in length. Their secondary structure includes four short double-helical elements and three loops (D, anti-codon, and T loops). Lineage: Eukaryota; Metazoa; Chordata; Mammalia; Artiodactyla; Camelidae. RNAcentral also lists the same sequence under 2 other names. The record is from Rfam by way of RNAcentral.
GGACAUAUAGCUCACUGGUAGAGUGUGUGUUUAGCAUGUACGAGGUCCUGGGUUCAAUCCCACUACCUCUA